RNAcentral lists this long non-coding RNA (498 nucleotides) under Nicotiana benthamiana. Its description in RNAcentral is "long non-coding RNA (NBEN_LNC036594)". Lineage: Eukaryota; Viridiplantae; Streptophyta; Magnoliopsida; Solanales; Solanaceae. The record is from RNAcentral.
UAAUUCUGCCUGGCGUUUUGGUGGUUGAGGGGGCCAUCCCUAAAUAUGGUGGCUGUAUUCAGCUCUCAUUCCUUUUCUGUGUUGUGCCUUUGCUACGCUCGAGUAGGGCUUUACCUUGGCGCUCUUUUUGGUGGUAAUCGUGUUUUCGAUUUUUGAUCUGGAAGAGAGUGGGAAAUUUUACUAAGAAAUCCCCAUAAACGGCGCCAAUUAUUUGAUUCAAAAGAUAUUGGAAACUUAUUGAACAAAUCAAUCAAUAAAAAUGAUGUGGGUAAAUCUUAGUUAAAGAUAAUAAACCUCUUAUCAAAAACUAGACGGGGAACAAUAUGUAAAGGAGGUGAAGAAAACCAAUCUUAUUGAGACUUUUUAUUCUCGCUCCCCUUCAUUAAUGGAGGAGAACCUAUUACACAUUUAUUCAGAGACCACUUUGUUUGUCAUGAUUACAGAUGAGAGAAAAAUAGAGAGAGAGAUUCCCAGAAGGAUCGAGAGAGGAAGUCCCCC